GGAUUGGAGUCUGCAACCCGACUCCAUGAAGCUGGAUUCGCUAGUAAUCGCGCAUCAGCCACGGCGCGGUGAAUACGUUCCCGGGCCUUGUACACACCGCCCGUCAAGCCAUGGAAGCCGGGAGUGCCUGAAGUGCGUGAGCGCAAGCAGCGCCCUAAGGUAAAACCGGUGACUGGGGCUAAGUCGUAACAAGGUAUC
RNAcentral lists this ribosomal RNA (198 nucleotides) under uncultured bacterium. Its description in RNAcentral is "partial 16S ribosomal RNA". It matches the Rfam family "Bacterial small subunit ribosomal RNA", at positions 1295 to 1500 of the family's 1533-position model. The record is from RNAcentral.